Molecule: transfer RNA, 72 nt
Filed under: Ovis aries (sheep)
Lineage: Eukaryota; Metazoa; Chordata; Mammalia; Artiodactyla; Bovidae
Rfam family: tRNA
About the family: Transfer RNA (tRNA) molecules are approximately 80 nucleotides in length. Their secondary structure includes four short double-helical elements and three loops (D, anti-codon, and T loops).
Source: Rfam by way of RNAcentral
UCCUUGGUGGCUCAGACAGUAAAGCAUCUGCCUUCAAUGAAGGAAACCCAGGUUCAAUCCCUGGGUCAGGAA